UACGGAGGGUGCAAGCGUUAAUCGGAAUUACUGGGCGUAAAGCGCACGCAGGUGGCUGAGUCAGUCGAUUGUGAAAGCCCUGGGCUUAACCUGGGAAUUGCAGUCGAUACUACUCAGCUAGAGUAUGGGAGAGGGCAGUGGAAUUCCCGGUGUAGCGGUGAAAUGCGUAGAUAUCGGGAGGAAUACCGGUGGCGAAGGCGGCGUUCUGGACCAUUACUGACACUGAAUCGCGAAAGCUAGGGGAGCAAACGGG
This 253-nucleotide ribosomal RNA is filed under the name uncultured bacterium. Its description in RNAcentral is "partial 16S ribosomal RNA". It matches the Rfam family "Bacterial small subunit ribosomal RNA", at positions 524 to 776 of the family's 1533-position model. The record is from RNAcentral.